CGGGUGAGUAAAGUCUGGGAAACUGCCUGAUGGAGGGGGAUAACCACUGGAAACGGUGGCUAAUACCGCAUAAUCUCGCGAGAGCAAAGUGGGGGACCUUAAUGGCCUCACGCCAUCGGAUGUGCCCAGAUGGGAUUAGCUUGUUGGUGGGGUAAAGGCUCACCAAGGCGACGAUCCCUAGCUGGUCUGAGAGGAUGACCAGCCACACUGGAACUGAGACACGGUCCAGACUCCUACGGGAGGCAGCAGUGGGGAAUAUUGCACAAUGGGCGCAAGCCUGAUGCAGCCAUGCCGCGUGUGUGAAGAAGGCCUUCGGGUUGUAAAGCACUUUCAGCGGGGAGGAAGGUGGUGUGGUUAAGAGCCAUAUCAAUUGACGUUACCCGCAGAAGAAGCACCGGCUAACUCCGUGCCAGCAGCCGCGGUAAUACGGAGGGUGCAAGCGUUAAUCGGAAUUACUGGGCGUAAAGCGCACGCAGGCGGUCUGACAAGUCAGAUGUGAAAUCCCCGGGCUUAACCUGGGAACUGCAUUUGAAACUGUCAGG
This 542-nucleotide ribosomal RNA is filed under the name uncultured bacterium. RNAcentral describes it as "bacterial SSU rRNA". It matches the Rfam family "Bacterial small subunit ribosomal RNA", at positions 103 to 640 of the family's 1533-position model. The record is from RNAcentral.